RNAcentral lists this ribosomal RNA (478 nucleotides) under uncultured bacterium. RNAcentral's name for it is "bacterial SSU rRNA". It matches the Rfam family "Bacterial small subunit ribosomal RNA", at positions 26 to 518 of the family's 1533-position model. The record is from RNAcentral.
AGGACGAACGCUGGCGGCGUGCCUAACACAUGCAAGUCGAGCGAGUGGAUUCCUUCGGGAGAGAAGCUAGCGGCGGACGGGUGAGUAACACGUGGGCAACCUGCCUCAUAGAGGGGAAUAGCCUCCCGAAAGGGAGAUUAAUACCGCAUAAGAUUGUAGUUUCGCAUGAAGUAGCAAUUAAAGGAGCAAUCCGCUAUGAGAUGGGCCCGCGGCGCAUUAGCUAGUUGGUGAGGUAACGGCUCACCAAGGCGACGAUGCGUAGCCGACCUGAGAGGGUGAUCGGCCACAUUGGGACUGAGACACGGCCCAGACUCCUACGGGAGGCAGCAGUGGGGAAUAUUGCACAAUGGGGGAAACCCUGAUGCAGCAAACCGCCGCGUGAGUGAUGACGGCCUUCGGGUUGUAAAGCUCUGUCUUCAGGGACGAUAAUGACGGUACCUGAGGAGGAAGCCACGGCUAACUACGUGCCAGCAGCAGC